This is a non-coding RNA of Myotis brandtii (Brandt's bat), 75 nucleotides long. The record is from Rfam. Lineage: Eukaryota; Metazoa; Chordata; Mammalia; Chiroptera; Vespertilionidae.
GUCGGUUCUCAGGUGACACACACUGUGAUUGGGCUCCCUCCUCUCUGGUUCCGGGUGCGUCACCCUAGAACCGCA